Long non-coding RNA from Hyla sarda, 471 nucleotides. RefSeq lists it as uncharacterized. NCBI's taxonomy places the organism in Eukaryota, Metazoa, Chordata, Amphibia, Anura, Hylidae. The record is from RefSeq and is a predicted model, not a curated record. The transcript has 3 exons.
AAACGCCUGUUUAUCCACAUCUGCUCCACUUCACCCUGACUCAUCUUCUUAUAGAGAAACAAUACCACAGGGCAUGGGAACCCACUCAUGGCUAUGAAUGCCCACUUUAUUGCCUUCUGUAAUGUAGCAAGCUCCUUCCUCAAUCUGAGUCAUUCAUCCUUGAUGGACCAAUCCUUGAAGGCAAUUCCAUAAUGUAAAGCAUACAAAAAGCACGUACCUGACGUCACGGUGCCUGCCCCAGCUGCGCAGGAAGAUAAGGACAUCCCGCCGCCUAGAGAUGCUGCAUCCUCCCUGCAAGACGAGGAGGAGGACGAGGCUGGAAAACAAUGACGGAGGGUCAGAGAGGAUGAGGAUCUACUGACAAAGUGAGAACCUAUGAUGUCCUGGCGUCAGACUCUGCAGAGAAGAUCGAGCUGGAAGACGUCCUGACGUCUGGACCAGAUGAAGAAGAAAAGGCAACAGAGAAGACGU